CAGUCGCCGCGGUAAUACAGAGGGUGCGAGCGUUAAUCGGAUUUACUGGGCGUAAAGCGUGCGUAGGCGGCUUUUUAAGUCGGAUGUGAAAUCCCUGAGCUUAACUUAGGAAUUGCAUUCGAUACUGGGAAGCUAGAGUAUGGGAGAGGAUGGUAGAAUUCCAGGUGUAGCGGUGAAAUGCGUAGAGAUCUGGAGGAAUACCGAUGGCGAAGGCAGCCAUCUGGCCUAAUACUGACGCUGAGGUACGAAAGCAUGGGGAGAAAACAGGAUUAGAUACCCCGGUAGUCCCUGUCUCUUAUAC
This 301-nucleotide ribosomal RNA is filed under the name uncultured bacterium. Its description in RNAcentral is "partial 16S ribosomal RNA". It matches the Rfam family "Bacterial small subunit ribosomal RNA", at positions 509 to 807 of the family's 1533-position model. The record is from RNAcentral.